GGAGAGGUCGCAUAGCCCGGUUUAGUGCGGCGGUUUGCUAAACCGCUGUGGUGUUGAAAAGCGCCACCGGGGGUUCAAAUCCCCCCCUCUCCGCCA
Molecule: transfer RNA, 96 nt
Filed under: Omnitrophica bacterium RIFCSPHIGHO2_02_FULL_45_28
Lineage: Bacteria; Pseudomonadati; Candidatus Omnitrophota
Also listed under: 3 other names
Description: tRNA-Ser
Rfam family: tRNA
About the family: Transfer RNA (tRNA) molecules are approximately 80 nucleotides in length. Their secondary structure includes four short double-helical elements and three loops (D, anti-codon, and T loops). Further hydrogen bonds mediate the characteristic L-shaped molecular structure. tRNAs have two regions of fundamental functional importance: the anti-codon, which is responsible for specific mRNA codon recognition, and the 3' end, to which the tRNAs corresponding amino acid is attached (by aminoacyl-tRNA synthetases). tRNAs cope with the degeneracy of the genetic code in two manners: having more than one tRNA (with a specific anti-codon) for a particular amino acid; and 'wobble' base-pairing, i.e. permitting non-standard base-pairing at the 3rd anti-codon position.
Source: RNAcentral